Oxyura jamaicensis (ruddy duck) is the source of this 152-nucleotide long non-coding RNA. RefSeq lists it as uncharacterized. NCBI's taxonomy places the organism in Eukaryota, Metazoa, Chordata, Aves, Anseriformes, Anatidae. The transcript is spliced from 3 exons. The record is from RefSeq and is a predicted model, not a curated record.
AAUACUGCCUUCAGCACUGGGGCCAAAAGUACAAAAAGGACAUGGGCCUAUUAGAAUGAGUCAAGAGGAGGGCCAUGAGGAUGAACAAAGGGCUGGAGCACCUCUCCUAUAAAGACAGACUGAGGAAGUUGGGGUUAUUCAGCCUGUAGAAG